RNAcentral lists this ribosomal RNA (342 nucleotides) under uncultured Coprococcus sp. RNAcentral describes it as "partial 16S ribosomal RNA". Lineage: Bacteria; Bacillati; Bacillota; Clostridia; Lachnospirales; Lachnospiraceae. The record is from RNAcentral.
GGAGUUUGGGCCGUGUCUCAGUCCCAAUGUGGCCGUACACCCUCUCAGGCCGGCUACUGAUCGUCGCCUUGGUGGGCCGUUACCCCGCCAACUAGCUAAUCAGACGCGGGUCCAUCCUAUACCACCGGAGUUUUUCACACUGUACCAUGCGAUACUGUGCGCUUAUGCGGUAUUAACAGCCGUUUCCAGCUGUUAUCCCCCUGUAUAGGGCAGGUUACCCACGCGUUACUCACCCGUCCGCCACUAAGUAUUCCAAAUGAUUCCUCAGAAGCAAGCUUCCUUGGUCUCGGGAGGAAUACUCCGUUCGACUUGCAUGUGUUAAGCACGCCGCCAGCGUUUAUC